GCGAGUGAGCGGCAACAGCUCAAAUUUGAAAGCUAGCCUUCGGGUUCGCAUUGUAAUUUGUAGAGGAUGAUUUGGGGAAGCCGCCUGUCUAAGUUCCUUGGAACAGGACGUCAUAGAGGGUGAGAAUCCCGUAUGUGACAGGAAAUGGCACCCUAUGUAAAUCUCCUUCGACGAGUCGAGUUGUUUGGGAAUGCAGCUCUAAAUGGGAGGUAAAUUUCUUCUAAAGCUAAAUAUUGGCGAGAGACCGAUAGCGCACAAGUAGAGUGAUCGAAAGAUGAAAAGCACUUUGGAAAGAGAGUUAAAAAGCACGUGAAAUUGUUGAAAGGGAAGCGCUUGCAAUCAGACUUGUUUAAACUGUUCGGCCGGUCUUCUGACCGGUUUACUCAGUUUGGACAGGCCAGCAUCAGUUUCGGCGGCCGGAUAAAGGCUCUGGGAAUGUGGCCUCCACUUCGGUGGAGGUGUUAUAGCCCAGGGUGUAAUACGGCCAGCCGGGACUGAGGUCCGCGCUUCGGCUAGGAUGCUGGCGUAAUGGUUGUAAGCGACCCGUCUUGAACCA
This 556-nucleotide ribosomal RNA is filed under the name Aureobasidium pullulans. RNAcentral describes it as "eukaryotic LSU rRNA". It matches the Rfam family "Eukaryotic large subunit ribosomal RNA", at positions 89 to 661 of the family's 3401-position model. Lineage: Eukaryota; Fungi; Ascomycota; Dothideomycetes; Dothideales; Saccotheciaceae. The record is from RNAcentral.